CCCCAGAUAGCUCAGUUGGUAGAGCAUCAGACUUUCAAUCUGAGAGUCCAGGGUUCAAGUACCUAUUUGAGCG
RNAcentral lists this transfer RNA (73 nucleotides) under Danionella translucida. It matches the Rfam family "tRNA". From Rfam's summary of the family: Transfer RNA (tRNA) molecules are approximately 80 nucleotides in length. Their secondary structure includes four short double-helical elements and three loops (D, anti-codon, and T loops). Further hydrogen bonds mediate the characteristic L-shaped molecular structure. tRNAs have two regions of fundamental functional importance: the anti-codon, which is responsible for specific mRNA codon recognition, and the 3' end, to which the tRNAs corresponding amino acid is attached (by aminoacyl-tRNA synthetases). tRNAs cope with the degeneracy of the genetic code in two manners: having more than one tRNA (with a specific anti-codon) for a particular amino acid; and 'wobble' base-pairing, i.e. permitting non-standard base-pairing at the 3rd anti-codon position. The record is from Rfam by way of RNAcentral. RNAcentral also lists the same sequence under 1 other name. Lineage: Eukaryota; Metazoa; Chordata; Actinopteri; Cypriniformes; Danionidae.